GUGAGUAACACGUGGGUAACCUGCCCAUAAGACUGGGAUAACUCCGGGAAACCGGGGCUAAUACCGGAUAACAUUUUGAACCGCAUGGUUCGAAAUUGAAAGGCGGCUUCGGCUGUCACUUAUGGAUGGACCCGCGUCGCAUUAGCUAGUUGGUGAGGUAACGGCUCACCAAGGCAACGAUGCGUAGCCGACCUGAGAGGGUGAUCGGCCACACUGGGACUGAGACACGGCCCAGAGUCCUACGGGAGGCAGCAGUGGGGAAUCUUGCGCAAUGGGCGAAAGCCUGACGCAGCAACGCCGCGUGAGGGAUGAAGGCCUUCGGGUUGUAAAACUCUGUUGUUAGGGAAGAACAAGUGCUAGUUGAAUAAGCUGGCACCUUGACGGUACCUAACCAGAAAGCCACGGCUAAAUACGUGCCAGCAGCCGCGGUAAUACGUAGGUGGCAAGCGUUAUCCGGAAUUAUUGGGCGUAAAGCGCGCGCAGGUGGUUUCUUAAGUCUGAUGUGAAAGCCCACGGCUCAACCGUGGAGGGUCAUUGGAAACUGGGAGACUUGAGUGCAGAAGAGGAAAGUGGAAUUCCAUGUGUAGCGGUGAAAUGCGUAGAGAUAUGGAGGAACACCAGUGGCGAAGGCGACUUUCUGGUCUGUAACUGACACUGAGG
RNAcentral lists this ribosomal RNA (660 nucleotides) under Bacillus cereus. RNAcentral describes it as "bacterial SSU rRNA". It matches the Rfam family "Bacterial small subunit ribosomal RNA", at positions 106 to 751 of the family's 1533-position model. Lineage: Bacteria; Bacillati; Bacillota; Bacilli; Caryophanales; Bacillaceae. The record is from RNAcentral.